CAGUCAAGAUGUCGCCGAUGACGACUAGCUAAUCGUUAUGAAGCUUAACAAAAGACGCAGCUGGUUUGUUCACUUGAAUUUUAUGACAUUUUUUAUUGUUUGUUAUUUUACUGAGCACAGAUUUUGGUUGCCCACCGUGGAUGCUAUAUGUUCUACAUCUUCCUCGCAUUUUCUCCCUUCGCGCAUUUUUAUUCUCAUUCGUUUCCCCUAUUUUUCAUUGUAAAUAAAAGAAAACGUUCAUUUUUCUUACGUUGAAAAACUUAUUUCUUUUCAUUCUUACUCCAUCUCAAGUUCUUUUUUAGUGUGACAAAAUAUCCAUAUAUAUAUAUAUAUAUAUAUUCAUCUGCGGUCUCUCGGUAAUGUUUUUCGAGUCCACUGUGACUAUUCCUUGUCAUCUGCUGGUGUUACCGCAACAACGUAUAUAACUCUCAUCUUUCUAUUUUCUCGUAUUCCCUAACCAAUUUAUAUCCGUCCUGGUUCCAACAGUCACGACAAACGGUUGCCCUUCGCAUGAAGUUCGCCUCACCGUUGUACAAAGGAAUACUUUACACAGAUUCCCUUGAUGCGUUCGCUCAAAAACGCCCCAUACCCCCUCCCGUAGCCACUACUCACAGCAAUAGACUCAUUCACUAACUCUGUGUGCGCACUCUUUCCCAGCUUGCAGAUCUGUCACUGUUCUUCUGCCGCCGCGGCUCGAUUGACAAAACCGGCCUUCACCAGGAAGGCAACAUUUGCUUACAAAUCGUUCAGCGUUUACUGCUGUAUCGGGUUUUCUUUUUCACCCAUUAUUGCCGCGCUGUUCCACGGGAUGGCUAGCUUUUUUCAAUUGGGUUCAAUUUUCACAUCAGAUAAAGGGUUAAUAGUUUUCCUUCUCUUUCUCCCGGUUAAAUGUUACAUGCACAUGUUUUAUCAUCACCACGAUCUCUGUUCGGUCAUCUUUUACUAUAUGCCGGCGUUAGUAUUCACUAUUUUUACUUAUAUCUGAUUUCCUUUCGAACUUUAUAUAUAUAUAUAUAUAUAUAUAUAUAUAUAUAUACAUACAUAUAUAUGGUCAUUUCCUCUCUCUUACGUACUUAUACGACUUAGGCUUGUUAAAUUUUCGACGCAACUUACGUUGUAAGGUUCAAGUGUCAUUGCUAAAAUUUGAGAUGUUCCCGAUAGAGGACGCUACCUACUUUAUGUGCGCUUCCGCUCCAUACAGCUAUAGAAUCUUAUCUAUGGGCAGUAGACCACAAGCCUGACACCCGUUAGUUCUUAUUUAUAACAACUAUCUUCAAUCCAGUUCUACUGUACAAUAAUCCAUGUAUAAUUAAUGAUGAUUCCCUCGGCUUCAUAUGAACUCGUCUCUCAUUUGGAGGAUUUAGCUUUGUAAUAUUCUGCCGUUGGCGCGUAUAUAUGAAAAGAUCAUUGUUGUAUUCGAAUAUAGAAUAGAAUGUUCGUUCGAGUUUUAUAUUUCGAUGGUUUACGCGAACCAUCGAUUAAGAGCUUAAGCUGUCAGGAACGUUUGUGAACGUUUUUUACGAUUCCAUUCAGCAUCAAAACGUGUACCUGUGCCACAUCGACAUUUGUCUUAACAUAGCCCUAUCGUCUGAUGAACAAAUGCAAUCCGGUGUUAACAUUUUAAUGUAUACUGUAUUCAUUUAAGAUGAGUUUCGUUCAUGUGUGCCUUUGCGAGCCCGUUUGGUUAACUUGAACGAUGCAUAUACGUAUUUUAGUCCAAUGAACGCUCAACGCGUUCGAUUGCCAUACGGAGUCAAUAGCUGCUGAGUAGCUCCCGCGGUCGCCGACAGUGGGAGCCAGUUGAUCUGAGUAAGGCGAUUAAUUACCUUACUAUUAAUAACUACUGUGGUUAUUCCAAACAAAAGCAGGCGUAUUCUAAUGAACUCCAGAGUUCGACGUCCCACCUUCCAUUCUAUCGCUACAUUAGUACGCUUUCCAAAAUCUAUGACAUUAACAGUAACACUAGUAACAACGGCGAUGAUGACACGUAGCAAUAGAACAACAAAUAACAACAAUAGGUUAUUUGCGGAGUGUAAAGUGUGACGAACGACAAUUUCAUCUUUUCAUUAAAAAAGUUGGCAUAGAACUUAAUGUAGCAGUGAUAAUAGUGAUAAGAUUGUAAAGCUUGCGUGUUGACAGUGUGCAUAGGUCAGUUUUAGUAUUAUUACGCCCUAGAGUAAGAAUGUCUGAAUGCGGAAAAUGAUCUAGGGGUAUAAGGAUACAUGGCCGAUAUCACUGUGAAAAUCUCAUUCAACGUGUUUUUGGACUAGUGGUUUCCAGAAUAUAUGGAAAAUGUUUGCCGCAAUUUCUAUCGAAGACUAUCCCCCACCACUUGACAAACUAUUAGCGAGCGACCUUAGUGCGUCAAAAAGCCACGUCAGAAAACGUGCCCAGAAUUGCGUCGGUCCGCCUCAAUUCAAUUCGUGUCCUACUCGUGCCACGUUCGAUAAAGUAAAUACGUAUGGUAGAUAGCAGGUAAACUCAAGGAUUUCUCUUCUCGCCUCAUCGGCCUAGGAAAAGCAGCAGGCCACAGCAAUCGAUGCGCUCGUUUUCUUAGCGUAGCAAGACAGACUACGCCGAUACUACUAAUGCGACCGUGGCAGAAACCCACCUAUCCAUAUUCAUAAUCACCUCUUGGAGCUCGGGCUGGCGAUUGGUUGAAACGGCAAUGGAGGUCCUCGAUGGCGCCGCGUUCAAGAGAUAGAACUGUUAGAGGCUUGUCACGGAAUGUCCGGAGAACUCCAAGAAACAAGUUUGUCCAGUCUGCCCCAGGAGACAUCGGCAUAGCUACUGAUCGAAGCGGUCAAAGUAAUCUGCCAGGAGACAUAUAUCAUUCAACGCAAGAAAUACCUAGGAAAUACACAACA
Molecule: long non-coding RNA, 2867 nt
Organism: Varroa destructor (honeybee mite)
Lineage: Eukaryota; Metazoa; Arthropoda; Arachnida; Mesostigmata; Varroidae
Source: RefSeq, a predicted model, not a curated record